AGUAUAAUAAAAUCUAAAUUAUCCACGGCCUAUAUAAAAUACUCAACCGUAUGUCAUUUAUCCUCCCAUCAUAAUUCAAUUAUUCUUCAAUUAAACUCCGUCAUCUUAACUGGUGCAACAAAGAAGUAUAGCAAAAAGUUAGUUUUUCGAAGCAUACAUAACCUCUAAAGUUAUUUAUUAUAGAUUAUUCUUCAAUUAAACUCCGUCAUCUUAACUGGUGCAACAA
RNAcentral lists this long non-coding RNA (226 nucleotides) under Carica papaya (papaya). RNAcentral describes it as "long non-coding RNA (CPAP_LNC001120)". The record is from RNAcentral. Lineage: Eukaryota; Viridiplantae; Streptophyta; Magnoliopsida; Brassicales; Caricaceae.